GCUGGAUGCGGUGUGUGCCUGUAGUCCCAGCUACUCGGGAGGCUGAGGCAGGAGGCUCACUUGCGUUCAGGCGUUCUGGGCUGUAGUGUGUUGUGCUGAUUGGGUGUCUGCACUAAGUUUGACAUCAAUAAGGUGACCUCCCAGGAGCCAGGGACCACCAGGUUGCCCAAGGAGGGGUGAAUCAGCCCAGAUCCAAAAUGGAGCAGGUCAGAACUCCCGUGCUGAUCAGUGGGACUGCACCUGUGAAUAGCCGCUGCACUCCAGCCUGGGCAGCAUAGUGAGACCUUGUUUCUA
Molecule: non-coding RNA, 294 nt
Organism: Chlorocebus sabaeus (green monkey)
Lineage: Eukaryota; Metazoa; Chordata; Mammalia; Primates; Cercopithecidae
Rfam family: Metazoan signal recognition particle RNA
About the family: The signal recognition particle (SRP) is a universally conserved ribonucleoprotein. It is involved in the co-translational targeting of proteins to membranes.
Source: Rfam